Long non-coding RNA from Lynx canadensis (Canada lynx), 1359 nucleotides. RefSeq lists it as uncharacterized. Lineage: Eukaryota; Metazoa; Chordata; Mammalia; Carnivora; Felidae. The record is from RefSeq and is a predicted model, not a curated record. The transcript has 5 exons.
GAGAGUGUAUCACCUGUGCCACACCCCCCCGGGAAGGUAGUCUGCUAUUUACCAUCUUGGCCGGGUGGGGGCAGUUCCUGAAGUUUCUGCUGGACUGUCCCCACCAACAGAGCCCCGCCCCUGGGCGGGGUGCAUCAGCCGCACUUACUCAUUUGGGGACCGGAGUCCUGAGCACUGUGGUCCGCGGACCGGCUCAGCUUACCCCGGACCCGGUUUAUGAUCCGGGCCCCCGCGCCCCAGCUCUGCAGCACCCGUGCCGGUGCAGACGGCAUCUCCCCGGGGGACGGCUGCGGAGUGAAGCCGUGGGCCUCUGUAAGAGCACCCGGGGAAUCAUGGGCGCGGGCCCGGCGGCUGACUCGGAAAGGCUGUGCCGGAAGCCGCCGCACGGAGAGGCCCACGCGCUGCGGAGCCGCGGGAAGUCCCACCGGCGAGGACCCGAAUCCGCACCCCCAGGAGUGAGCUUCGGAUGAGACCGCAGCCCCGCCCUACCUGGACGCCGGACCCCGGAAACCGCGAGGCCACACAGCCGGGGUUGGAGGGAGCCAGUGAAGCUUGGGGACGGCCACUAGCUGCGCACGGCUGGCGGGAGCAGCCGCUGGGGAGACAGCCCGGAGCCCCCUCGUGGAGCCGCCAGGGACACUGGCUUCCGUCCCGGGCGCGUGCCCACGGGAGCGGAAGGCGGGGCCUCACACACACCUGCACACACACGCGUACACGCCGUUAUCCCGGUGCACAAAAAGUGGAAGCGACCUGAGUGUCCACUGAUGGACGAAGGGACGAGCAAGACGCGGUCCAUCCGUGUAGGCGAUCAUCCCUAGAAAGGGCGCUUCACCCCUGCUGCACCGCGGGUGAACCCUGAGGGCACUGUGUUCAGUGAAAGAAGCCAUCAUAGAAAGACAAAUCCUGUGUGGUUUCACGUCUACAGGAGAUUUUACCCGGUGAAAAAGCUGCUGAGUUAGCGGCGGGCAGCAGCCCCGAAACACAAACCUCGGGGAUUUCCACGUCUGCGACCAGCUCACGGCCAAACACCUGCCCGGCACAACGUAAAAAGGAGAACAUUGACGAUACCGAUUUGACAGUUCGAUGUUUCUUUACUCCGAACGUGAAAUAACAAAUAACAAACAACCACGGCUAGUUGAGAAAGAGACCACGGAAAAAAGGAAAACGCUUUCCUUUCUAGGCCCCGGGCCCCGGGCCCCGGCAAGGAACCAGAGCUGCCUGUGGUGCGCAGGGUGCAGGGGUGAGGCCUCCGCAGAGAAACAGCUGUGAGCGGGCGCUCUCAUUACCGCAUGGCUGUGUGCGCUGCAUGUUGAAAUGACUGUGGAUACCGGGUUAAAGAAGAGUAAUGAUUAAAAUUAA